CAGGGAGACAACAAAAUGUUUAAUAUUAUUAUUUUGUCACCUUAGGUCGAUCGGUAUCUCACGUUUUUAAUUUAUUAAGAAUUUCAUUUCCUAAGUUUUUCUAGGUCACACCCAUUAUUUUUCCUGGGCCAUUAGCUCAGGUGGUUAGAGCGCACCCCUGAUAAGGGUGAGGUCCCUGGUUCAAGUCCAGGAUGGCCCAUAUCUCUAUGUUGGGGGUAUAGCUCAGUUGGUAGAGCGCCUGCUUUGCAAGCAGGAUGUCAGCGGUUCGAGUCCGCUUACCUCCACUGAUUACCACCUCUUCCAUAACCGGUAGAAGGGAAAUGUUUUGAGUUGUGAUCAAAUCCUGAAAGAAUCUAGCUUCCUAAUGUAAUCAUUAAGAUGCUGGACUCAUUGAAUUAAUUUCAUUGUUUUCAGAGAACCUUGACAACUGCAUAGAUUAUUUUUAAAGACAAUAAGCAUCUUUAAUGAUGCAGAUUUAUUAUUUGUGCGAAUGCAUUAAUAACAAUUCUAUUAAGCUGAUGCUUCAAUUUUGAAGUUAUU
This 540-nucleotide transfer RNA is filed under the name uncultured Prochlorococcus sp. Its description in RNAcentral is "partial 16S-23S ribosomal RNA intergenic spacer". The stretch from base 212 to 284 matches the Rfam family "tRNA". Lineage: Bacteria; Bacillati; Cyanobacteriota; Cyanophyceae; Synechococcales; Prochlorococcaceae. The record is from RNAcentral.